UUCCGUGUCGCGCGCGUCAACGCCGUCGCAUUAUCCUCUCUAGCCGGCGAUGUUGAGUUGUGAUGCAGCAGCAGCAGUGUGCCGCAUACAGAUCGGAGUCGAGCGUUUGGCCGCCAUUUUGUAAUCGCCAUUUUAUUCCCCUCGGUAACGGGGCGAGGACACGUACUUGGCUUGUGUGCCACUCUCUUGCCUCAUUAUCGUCAGAAUUCGAUCGAGUGCCGCUGCACUUGUUUUGGAAGCGCCGACAUUCUCUUUAUGACCCGUUAAACGAGAACGAAAGAUAAGAAAAUUAUAAUCUACAAAGCUAGGGAUACUUUGCAAAAAUGAGCUACGGUAGACCACCACCCCGCAUUGAUGGGAUGGUCUCCCUCAAGGUUGAUAAUCUGACUUAUCGUACUACUCCCGAAGACCUGAGACGAGUAUUUGAGCGCUGUGGAGAAGUUGGAGAUAUUUACAUACCUCGUGACAGAUUCACAAGAGAAAGUCGUGGUUUUGCAUUUGUCAGAUUUUAUGAUAAACGAGAUGCCGAAGAUGCACUUGAUGCUAUGGAUGGUAGAUUGUUAGAUGGUAGGGAAUUGCGUGUUCAGAUGGCACGUUAUGGAAGACCUACGUCACCUCAUCGUAGUCGUGGAAGUAGACGCUGGAGAAGCUCUCGCAGUCGCAGCCGGGACCGCAGACGCUCGAGGUCCAGGUCACGCUCUCGCUCUCGCUCGCGCAGUCGUGACCGGGACCGCAGGCGCAGCUAUAGCCGCAGUCGUUCACGCUGCCGCUCGGACAGCAAGAGCUCGCGCGGCAAAUCGCGCAGUCGCAGCAAGUCGACCGAUAGACAGAAGGACGUGCGCUCCAAGUCAAGGGAUUGAAACUAAAGCCAAAUUUUCUUAUAAAUGGCAAUUCAUGUUCGAGAGGCAUUUGCACUACCAUCUCAAGAGCCAACUAUACUGACUUGAAUUAUAAAAAAGGCGGCUGUAAGGCGGAGAGUGGCGCGCGCCGAGAGAAAGAGAGUAAGCAGGCCGUAAGCCGUGGGGAGAGAGCGAGACGGAGAUUGGUUGCGGUCGUUGCUGUCGUGUAGCAGAGCGAGAGAGAGCGAGAGAGAGAGAGAGAGAGAGGGGCACUUUGCAGUAGGCCGAAAAGUCGCAAAAGAAAAAAACAGAGCGAGAGGGGGUGCGCGCGCGCGCUCGCGGGUGUGCCUGUGUGUGCGAGA
Ceratosolen solmsi marchali is the source of this 1201-nucleotide RNA transcript. It is a transcript of the gene named SR family splicing factor SC35, with no coding region annotated. The transcript is spliced from 6 exons. NCBI's taxonomy places the organism in Eukaryota, Metazoa, Arthropoda, Insecta, Hymenoptera, Agaonidae. The record is from RefSeq and is a predicted model, not a curated record.